AUGCGGCAGUCGGCGGCCACACCGGCGGGCGACGCGCCGCCGCGCAUGUACUUCAUCCCGUUCCCAACGCCGGGCCACGCGCUGCCGAUGUCCGACCUGGCCCGCCUCUUCGCGUCGCGCGGCGCCGACGCCACCCUCGUCCUCACCCACGCCAACGCCGCCAGGCUCGGCGGCCCCGUGGCCCGCGCGGCCGCCGCGGGCUUCCGCAUCCGCGUCCACGCGCUGCCCCUGCCCGCCGAGGCCGCGGGGCUCACGGGCGGGCACGAGAGCGCCGACGACCUCCCCACCCGCGAGGACGCGGGCCCGUUCGCCGUCGCCGUCGACCUCCUCGCGCCGCUCUUCGCCGACCUCCUGCGCCGCCACCCCGCCGACGCCGUCGUCUUCGACGGCGUCCUCCCGUGGGCCGCCACCGCCGCCGCCGAGCUCCGCAUCCCGCGGUACGCGUUCACCGGCACCGGCUGCUUCGCGCUCUCGGUGCAGCGGUCCCUGCUCCUCCACACCCCGCAGGAGAGCGUCGCGUCGCCCACGGAGCCGUUCCUCGUGCCGGGGCUCCCGGACGCGGUGCGGCUCACCAGGUCGAGGCUCGCCGAGGCGACGCUCCCCGGCGCGGACUCGCGGGAGUUCCUGAACCGCAUGUUCGACAUCGAGCGCGCCACGGCCGGCUGGGUCGUCAACUCGUUCGCCGACCUCGAGCAGAGGUACAUGGAGCACUACGAGAAGGACACCGGGAAGCCGGUGUUCGCCGUCGGGCCGGUCUGCCUCGUCAACGGCGACGGCGACGACGUCUUGGAGCGCGGCCGCGGCGGGGAGCCGGGUGCCGCCGCGGAGGCCGCACGCGUGCUGGGAUGGCUCGACACGAAGCCCGCGCGGUCGGUGGUGUACGUCUGCUUCGGCAGCCUCACCCGGUUCCCGCCUGAGCAGGUGACGGAGCUCGGCAUGGGCCUCGCGGACUCCGGCGCGAACUUCGUGUGGGUCGUCGGGGACAAGAACGCUCCGCCGCUCCCCGACCGCGGGCUGGUGGUCAGGGGGUGGGCACCGCAGGUGGCGGUGCUGAGGCACGCGGCUGUUGGCGCGUUCGUGACGCACUGCGGAUGGGGCGCGGUGACCGAGGCGGCGGCGGCUGGUGUCCCGGUGGUGACAUGGCCGGUUUUCGCGGAGCAGUUCUACAACGAGGCGCUGGUGGUGGGCAUCGCCGGCACGGGCGUCGGCGCCGGCGCGGAGAGAGGGUACGUGUGGGGAGGCGAGGAGCUGGGCGGGGUGGUGGUGGGCAGGGAGAAGGUGGCGGAGAGGGUCCGCGCGGCGAUGGCCGACGAGGGGCUGCGACGGAAGGCAGGGGAGGUCGGGGAGAGAGCGCGGCGGGCCAUGGAGGUGGGAGGUUCUUCGUACGUGGCCGUUGGGGCGCUGCUGAAUGAUGUGCGGCGCCGGCGCCAGCACGGGGGUUGA
Molecule: ribosomal RNA, 1443 nt
Filed under: Triticum aestivum (bread wheat)
Lineage: Eukaryota; Viridiplantae; Streptophyta; Magnoliopsida; Poales; Poaceae
Description: partial small subunit ribosomal RNA
Source: RNAcentral